AUUGAACGCUGGCGGCAGGCCUAACACAUGCAAGUCGAGCGAGCGGCGGACGGGUGAGUAAUGUAUGGGGACUGCCCGAUAGAGGGGGAUAACUACUGGAAACGGUAGCUAAUACCGCAUACUAUCGGAUAACCCAUAUGGAAUUAGCUAGUAGGUGAGGUAAUGGCUCACCUAGGCGACGAUCCCUAGCUGGUCUGAGAGGAUGAUCAGCCACACUGGGACUUGGGCAGGGACCGGACUCCUACGGAGGCAGCGGUGAGGAAUAUUGCACAAUGGGCUCAAGCCUGAUGCAGCCAUGCCGCGUGUAUGAAGAAGGCCCGAGUGUUGUAAAGUACUUUCAGUCGGGAGGCGUUACCGACAGGAGAAGCACCGGCUAACUCCGUGCCAGCCGCCGCGGUAAUAC
RNAcentral lists this ribosomal RNA (403 nucleotides) under uncultured bacterium. Its description in RNAcentral is "partial 16S ribosomal RNA". It matches the Rfam family "Bacterial small subunit ribosomal RNA", at positions 30 to 526 of the family's 1533-position model. The record is from RNAcentral.